RNAcentral lists this ribosomal RNA (253 nucleotides) under uncultured bacterium. RNAcentral's name for it is "partial 16S ribosomal RNA". It matches the Rfam family "Bacterial small subunit ribosomal RNA", at positions 524 to 776 of the family's 1533-position model. The record is from RNAcentral.
UACGGAGGGUGCUAGCGUUGUUCGGAAUCACUGGGCGUAAAGGGCGUGUAGGCGGUCUGUUAAGUCUGGUGUGAAAUCCCCCCGCUCAACGGGGGAACGGCGCCGGAUACUGGCAGACUUGAGUACCGGAGAGGAAGGUGGAAUUCCCGGUGUAGCGGUGAAAUGCGUAGAUAUCGGAAGGAACACCAGUGGCGAAGGCGGCUUCCUGGACUAAUACUGACGCUGAGGUGCGAAAGCGUGGGGAGCAAACAGG